Molecule: ribosomal RNA, 781 nt
Filed under: uncultured Serratia sp.
Lineage: Bacteria; Pseudomonadati; Pseudomonadota; Gammaproteobacteria; Enterobacterales; Yersiniaceae
Description: bacterial SSU rRNA
Rfam family: Bacterial small subunit ribosomal RNA
Source: RNAcentral
GGCGAGGCGGCCCCUGGACGAGACUGACGCUCAGUGCGAAAGCGUGGGGAGCAAACAGGAUUAGAUACCUGGUAGUCCACGCUGUAAACGAUGUCGAUUUGGAGGUUGUGCCCGUGAGGCGUGGCUUCCGGAGCUAACGCGUUAAAUCGACCGCUGGGGAGUACGGCCGCAAGGUUAAAACUCAAAUGAAUUGACGGGGGCCCGCACAGCGGUGGAGCAUGUGGUUUAAUUCGAUGCAACGCGAAGAACCUUACCUACUCUUGACAUCCAGAGAACCUAGCAGAGAUGCUUUGGUGCCUUCGGGAACUCUGAGACAGGUGCUGCAUGGCUGUCGUCAGCUCGUGUUGUGAAAUGUUGGGUUAAGUCCCGCAACGAGCGCAACCCUUAUCCUUUGUUGCCAGCGGUUCGGCCGGGAACUCAAAGGAGACUGCCAGUGAUAAACUGGAGGAAGGUGGGGAUGACGUCAAGUCAUCAUGGCCCUUACGAGUAGGGCUACACACGUGCUACAAUGGCGUAUACAAAGAGAAGCGACCUCGCGAGAGCAAGCGGACCUCAUAAAGUACGUCGUAGUCCGGAUUGGAGUCUGCAACUCGACUCCAUGAAGUCGGAAUCGCUAGUAAUCGUAGAUCAGAAUGCUACGGUGAAUACGUUCCCGGGCCUUGUACACACCGCCCGUCACACCAUGGGAGUGGGUUGCAAAAGAAGUAGGUAGCUUAACCUUCGGGAGGGCGCUUACCACUUUGUGAUUCAUGACUGGGGUGAAGUCGUAACAAGGUAACCA